RNAcentral lists this ribosomal RNA (468 nucleotides) under uncultured bacterium. RNAcentral's name for it is "partial 16S ribosomal RNA". It matches the Rfam family "Bacterial small subunit ribosomal RNA", at positions 28 to 507 of the family's 1533-position model. The record is from RNAcentral.
GACGAACGCUGGCGGCGUGCUUAACACAUGCAAGUCGAACGGAAAGGCCCUGCUUUUGUGGGGUGCUCGAGUUGCGAACGGGUGAGUAACACUUGAGUAACCUGCCCUUGACGUUGGGAUAACUUCAGGAAACUGGGGCUAAUACCGGAUAGGAUCUCCUGCUGCAUGGUGGGGGUUGGAAAGUUUCGGCGGUUGGGGAUGGACUCGCGGCUUAUCAGCUUGUUGGUGGGGUAGUGGAUUACCAAGGCUUUGACGGGUAGCCGGCCUGAGAGGGUGACAGGCCACAUUGGGACUGAGAUACGGCCCAGACUCCUACGGGAGGCAGCAGUGGGGAAUAUUGCACAAUGGGCGGAAGCCUGAUGCAGCAACGCCGCGUGCGGGAUGACGGCCUUCGGGUUGUAAACCGCUUUCGCCUGUGACGAAGCGUGAGUGACGGUAAUGGGUAAAGAAGCACCGGCUAACUACGUG